Mustela erminea (ermine) is the source of this 1419-nucleotide long non-coding RNA. RefSeq lists it as uncharacterized. The transcript is spliced from 4 exons. The record is from RefSeq and is a predicted model, not a curated record. Lineage: Eukaryota; Metazoa; Chordata; Mammalia; Carnivora; Mustelidae.
AAGGGGGUGGCCUGGGGGAUUAGUGCCGCUACUCCCUAACCUGCUCGGAAAGUUUCGCUCUUUCGCCAAAGAUGCUGGCAGAUGUGACCACAUACAUGGUUUUGCUUCCAUUAACCAGGAGAGUCAUUAAGUCCUGGAGCUUAAUGAGGCUCUGCAGAGCCCAAUCGUCAUUCCUCGGUGGAAAGUGCCAGUUCAUUGCUUGUAGAUCAAAAUCCUGGAGAUCAUGACUAAGUCAGAGGGGAGCUUUUCUGGCAUUAGGGAUUGACGGCCGACCCUAAUGUGACCCCACGCUGCAAAGUAGGCUUGCAUGAGUCAAAGGCUCCGGCCCCUCUGACCAGUCUGAAGGUGUGGGUGAUGGGGAAGCGAAAGGUACUCAACGAAGAGGAAAAAGCUAGAAACUUCUGAGGAACAGCAGAACAGGAAAUGCAGCCUUAACUGAGCACCAAUAAUUAAAGACUUAGCGAGCUCUUUCUGUUUUACCAACCCUUAAGUCACAGUCUACGACUCAUUCCUUGGCCCUUUUUCUCUCGAAUGGUAAUUGCUGCUCUUCUCCCAGAAGAUUCCAGAACUUGACAGUAGGAUAUCUGGACUUACAUCCCCGAUGUACCACCUGCUAGAUAUGUGGUCCUGGGCCAGGAGCCUGGAUGUGGUCAUCUGAAAAAUGGGGACAACCGGGCUUGGCUCUCUCAAAGGUUUGUGUAGAGAUGCAAAAUGAGUUGAUGUGAAUAAGCACUCCCUGAGAAGCAGGGAUUACGCCGGACACUCAGACCUCACAGUAGGGUCCAGAUGGCUCCAAUGCACACCACCAUCCCCCUCUCUUCUCUUCCAUCCUUUAGUUUUACUCCUUCCUCAAAUGUCCUGCUCACCAAUUCUCACCAUGUAUGUCUCUUCCAGAUUCCUUUUUUCCCAUUCUAGACCUUGAUUAGGAUUUCCCAAGGACUUUCAUGGACCACUAGUCCCCCAAAUGGCCCACAACCAAAGGGGGUUCUAAGGACAAAUCAGUUUGAGAAAUAACGAACCUCCUUUUAGAUACAUAACAUAACCUCCUUUCAAGAAGUCAACAGUUCUCCAUAGGGCUUUGAGAAGUCUUGCAGGAAGGAAACUUGUCUACCUUUCCUGCCUGAUUAGUUAGCAAUUUCUUAAUUAGUUUGACCACAAACCCAUUUUUCAAAUACUGCUUAUUAACAACCUGCUUCCCCACAAAUACAGCUUGGGAAAUAUCCUGGCUAAUGCUGGUAACUAUAAUGAUGAUGCCCAUUGAUUGAAUGUUUGUUACAUGUCAGUCUCCGUGGUAGCUGUUUAUAAAUAUUUAACUCCCAAUCAUCUCCAUGGGAUGUGUGCCUCACAUAAAACCACAAAGUAGACUGACCAAAACUCCAACCUGCUGGGGCGCCUGCGUGGCUCAGUGGGUUAAGCCUC